Molecule: ribosomal RNA, 301 nt
Filed under: Aplanochytrium sp. PBS07
Lineage: Eukaryota; Bigyra; Thraustochytrida; Thraustochytriidae
Description: partial Bacterial large subunit ribosomal RNA
Rfam family: Bacterial large subunit ribosomal RNA
Source: RNAcentral
GGUAGCGGAGAAAUUCCAAUCGAACUUGGAGAUAGCUGGUUCUCUCCGAAAUAGCUUUAGGGCUAGCCUCGCAUUUAUCAUUGUGGUGGUAAAGCACUGACUGGGCUAGGGGCCUCACAAGGUUACCGAACUCAAUCAAACUCUGAAUGCCAUAAAUGUUUGUGCGGGAGUCAGACUACGGGUGCUAAGAUUCGUGGUCGAGAGGGAAACAACCCAGAUCAACAGCUAAGGUCCCAAAGUAAUAGUUAAGUGGAAAAGGAAGUGGGGAAGCACUGACAGCCAGGAGGUUUGCUUAGAAGCA